Molecule: ribosomal RNA, 813 nt
Filed under: uncultured beta proteobacterium
Lineage: Bacteria; Pseudomonadati; Pseudomonadota; Betaproteobacteria
Description: bacterial SSU rRNA
Rfam family: Bacterial small subunit ribosomal RNA
Source: RNAcentral
AUUGAACGCUGGCGGCAUGCUUUACACAUGCAAGUCGAACGGCAGCAUGGGAUCUUCGGCCUGAUGGCGAGUGGCGAACGGGUGAGUAAUGCAUCGGAACGUACCCAGUCGUGGGGGAUAACGUAGCGAAAGUUACGCUAAUACCGCAUACGACCUGAGGGUGAAAGCAGGGGAUCUUCUGGACCUUGUGCGAUUGGAGCGGCCGAUGUCAGAUUAGCUAGUUGGUGGGGUAAAGGCCUACCAAGGCGACGAUCUGUAGCGGGUCUGAGAGGAUGAUCCGCCACACUGGGACUGAGACACGGCCCAGACUCCUACGGGAGGCAGCAGUGGGGAAUUUUGGACAAUGGGCGCAAGCCUGAUCCAGCCAUGCCGCGUGCGGGAAGAAGGCCUUCGGGUUGUAAACCGCUUUCAGACGGAAAGAAAUCGUCCGGGGCUAAUACCUCUGGCUGGAUGACGGUACCGUCAGAAGAAGCACCGGCUAACUACGUGCCAGCAGCCGCGGUAAUACGUAGGGUGCGAGCGUUAAUCGGAAUUACUGGGCGUAAAGCGUGCGCAGGCGGUUUCUUAAGCAAGAUGUGAAAUCCCCGGGCUUAACCUGGGAACUGCAUUUUGAACUGGGAGACUAGAGUGUGUCAGAGGGGGGUGGAAUUCCACGUGUAGCAGUGAAAUGCGUAGAGAUGUGGAGGAACACCGAUGGCGAAGGCAGCCCCCUGGGAUAACACUGACGCUCAUGCACGAAAGCGUGGGGAGCAAACAGGAUUAGAUACCCUGGUAGUCCACGCCCUAAACGAUGUCAACUGGUUGUUGGGAGAG